RNAcentral lists this small RNA (579 nucleotides) under Pongo abelii (Sumatran orangutan). RNAcentral's name for it is "processed transcript". Lineage: Eukaryota; Metazoa; Chordata; Mammalia; Primates; Hominidae. The record is from RNAcentral.
AGUUUCAUCCCCUAUCUUUGUCUCUGUGCUUUCCUUUAUUCCCAAGGUAAUUCUCACUUCACAGAUAUUUCCCAUCUUUCCCAUUAUAGCUUUGACUACAUCUAGAAUUUAUACUCAGUGGAUGGUCAGAAUGUUCCUUUAUGUCUCUUUGUGUCUCCAUCUGUCUGCCUCGGGAGCAGGGUGAACAUGGUGUUAAGGAAGUUUUGAACAUUUUAACAAAUGAGUUCCACACUUCCAUGGCCCUUACAGGCUGCCGGUCGGUCGCUGAGAUCAAUCGAAACUUGGUCCAGUUUUCCAGGCUGUAAGAAAAAACGGCCAAUAACCAGACUGCUGAGGUUGCCCACAGAAGGAUCACAAACUCACAGCACAGUGUGUGAUGCUGUCCUUCCUGGACCCCAUCCUAUCCGGAGGCUCAUGACCUGUAUUUCCCACAUUUCCGAUACCUCCACCCCUGUGCUUCAGGCCCUCCAAACCCCUGUGUUUCCCAAAUGUUCCAUGCCCUUCUUUGUAUCACUGACUAUUAUAUGUUGCUCUCUUGCCUAAAUCUUCCUCUGAAGUCAAAGACCUCAAAAGGACAGA